This 253-nucleotide ribosomal RNA is filed under the name uncultured bacterium. RNAcentral describes it as "partial 16S ribosomal RNA". It matches the Rfam family "Bacterial small subunit ribosomal RNA", at positions 524 to 776 of the family's 1533-position model. The record is from RNAcentral.
UACGUAGGUGGCAAGCGUUGUCCGGAUUUAUUGGGCGUAAAGAGCGCGCAGGCGGUCGUUCAAGUCGGGUGUGAAAGCCCCCGGCUCAACUGGGGAGGGUCACGCGAUACUGAUCGACUCGAAGGCAGGAGAGGGUAGUGGAAUUCCCGGUGUAGUGGUGAAAUGCGUAGAUAUCGGGAGGAACACCAGUGGCGAAGGCGACUACCUGGCCUGUUCUUGACGCUGAGGCGCGAAAGCUAGGGGAGCAAACGGG